AUUGAACGCUGGCGGCAUGCCUUGCACAUGCAAGUCGAACGGUAACAGGUCUUCGGAUGCUGACGAGUGGCGAACGGGUGAGUAAUACAUCGGAACGUGCCUAGUAGUGGGGGAUAACUACUCGAAAGAGUGGCUAAUACCGCAUGAGAUCUACGGAUGGAAGCAGGGGAUCGCAAGACCUUGUGCUACUAGAGCGGCCGAUGGCAGAUUAGGUAGGUGGUGGGAUAAAAGCUUACCAAGCCGACGAUCUGUAGCUGGUCUGAGAGGACGAUCAGCCACACUGGGACAGAGACACGGCCCAGACUCGUACGGGAGGCAGCAGUGGGGAAUUUUGGACAAUGGGCGAAAGCCUGAUCCAGCAAUGCCGCGUGCAGGAUGAAGGCCUUCGGGUUGUAAACUGCUUUUGUACGGAACGAAAAGCCCUGGGUUAAUACCCUGGGGUCAUGACGGUACCGUAAGAAUAAGCACCGGCUAACUACGUGCCAGCCGCCGCCGUAA
This 498-nucleotide ribosomal RNA is filed under the name uncultured bacterium. Its description in RNAcentral is "partial 16S ribosomal RNA". It matches the Rfam family "Bacterial small subunit ribosomal RNA", at positions 30 to 523 of the family's 1533-position model. The record is from RNAcentral.